This 552-nucleotide long non-coding RNA is filed under the name Sarcophilus harrisii (Tasmanian devil). RNAcentral's name for it is "lncRNA (ENSSHAG00000028270.1)". The record is from RNAcentral. Lineage: Eukaryota; Metazoa; Chordata; Mammalia; Dasyuromorphia; Dasyuridae.
GCUUGUAACGAGACCCAGUUUAUUAAGUGUCAGAAGCUAGAUUUGAACUCGGGGGCUUCCUGAGAGAACAAACGGGAGAAGUAAGGUAGAUGACUCUUUUUAAGAAGGGAAGCUCUGAUGUUUACUUGCUGCUGAUAUGAUGUAUUCAGUCUUUUUGGGAAGGAUGAUGUGGAAAAUGUUAUCAGAGAACAAAGGAGGUUAUUAGUGCUGUUUGGUCUACGUCAGAGUAAGAGCUUGACUUAGGCUUAAUGUCUUCGAGUGAUUCUGGUAUGGAAUAGUCUCCAGUCCUCUACCCUUCAGACCUCCCCUCUCUGGACAUUCUCCACCUUCUUGGUGCCAUUCCCAAAAUGCCCACCACUGAACAGAAUCAAAUCAAGUGCUCUUUCAUACUUAUUUAUCCCAGGCAACUUGCCCCAGACAACAUCUCAAGACUACAAGCUUCAGUAAAAAUAAAAAAAAUUCUGGAAAUUCCCCCAGAGUGAUGAAACUACAGAUUUCUCUCUUCUACACCUGCAAAUCAACUUCCUAAUUCUAAACCUAACCCUAUGUGUC